ACUGCUCAGUAACACGUGGACAACCUGCCCUUAGGUUGGGUAUAAACCCGGGAAACUGGGUAUAAUACCCGAUAGGUCUCGAUUGCUGGAAUGCAUCGAGAUUUAAAGCUCCGGCGCCUAAGGAUGGGUCUGCGGCCUAUCAGGUAGUAGUGGGUGUAGCGUACCUACUAGCCUACGACGGGUACGGGUUGUGAGAGCAAGAGCCCGGAGAUGGAUUCUGAGACACGAAUCCAGGCCCUACGGGGUGCAGCAGGCGCGGAAACUUUACAAUGCUGGCAACAGCGAUAAGGGAACCUCGAGUGCCAGGUUACAAAUCUGGCUGUCGAGAUGCCUAAAAAGCAUUUCAUAGCAAGGGCUGGGCAAGACCGGUGCCAGCCGCCGCGGUAACACCGGCGGCUCGAGUGGUAACCGUUAUUAUUGGGUCUAAAGGGUCUGUAGCCGGCCGGAUAAGUCUCUUGAGAAAUCUGGCAGCUUAACUGUCAGGCUUUCAGGAGAUACUGUCUGGCUCGAGGCCGGGAGAGGUGAGAGGUACUUCAGGGGUAGGGGUGAAAUCUUGUAAUCCUUGAAGGACCACCAGUGGCAAAGGCGUCUCACCAGAACGGACCUGACGGCAAGGGACGAAAGCUAGGGGCACGAACCGGAUUAGAUACCCGGGUAGUCCUAGCCGUAAACGAUACUCGCUAGGUGUCGGCCACGGUGCGACCGUUGUCGGUGCCGUAGGGAAGCCGUGAAGCGAGCCACCUGGGAAGUACGGCCGCAAGGCUGAAACUUAAAGGAAUUGGCGGGGGAGCAC
RNAcentral lists this ribosomal RNA (793 nucleotides) under uncultured archaeon. RNAcentral's name for it is "bacterial SSU rRNA". It matches the Rfam family "Archaeal small subunit ribosomal RNA", at positions 85 to 879 of the family's 1478-position model. The record is from RNAcentral.